CACUUUUCCUGUAUUAACUAACUUAACACCAACAGCCCAACCUUCACCACCCACCCUUUAAGUGUGGACCGCAGGAAAGCUUAAGGAGCCUGAACCAAAAGUUAACACAGCCAAGAAGGGAAACUCUACUUCUGAGGAUGCCCUUCCAAAUAUGAUGUAUCCAAGAAACGGACAAAGAAUCCAAAGGUGGAAUAUCAAACAAAUGAGUUGGCAAACUACCGGGCCUAGGACGCCGCUGAGAAGGGGCGCAUCCAUCGCGUGCAAGGUGUCCCUGAACGAGGCCUGGAAGGCGCAGGGACCCAGGCUGCACACACAGCCGGACAACCGAGCAGCACUCAACCGCGAGGCCUGAGGCCUUCGGGCAGACCGCGCAGCCCCGGCAGCCGCUGGGCUGACAGUGCGCUGCGCUGCAGGAGACCCGGGGCUCCGGGAGGGCACUGCGGUCGCGCCCCCCGGCCGACCGGCCGGCCGCGGAAGGGUGGUCCGGUGUCCCGGGUGGCGGUGAAGGGCCGAGGCCCGUGAUCGUCGGCGCCUAUGCUGAGCCAGGAGCCCUCCCGGUCUCCUCGGGAUACCGGGUUCCCUCCCCGGGCUCGCCGCUGCGCCCUUCCCGCAGGCUGCACCAGCCCCACAGGCCGCCGUCCGAGUCCCCUCGCACGCCCGCGCACAGCGGGACGCCGUAACCCCUGACCCUGCCAGCACCCCGGCUUACCGGCUCCGCCACCUCCACACACGCCGCGCCGGCGACUCCAUAUCCCAGGAGCCAGCGGCGACCCAGUCAACCUCCUGCCCUCCCGUGAUUGGCCGGCCGGGCGGGAGCCCCGCUUCCCUGAUUGGCUGGACUCCUGCAGCUGUGGGACUGCGUGGCCAGCAGACCGGGAACGGAGGCUCCGCCCAUCCGAGCUGCCUGGGGGCGGGGCCUGAGCGGGGGCGGGGCCGACCCGGAGGCGUGGUUCCGCCGGGCGCGCCACGGUCCUCGCAGUUCAAACCUACGGCAUUUUCAUAUCAGCAACUCCCAUCCCCGGAAUGCUCGUGAGAUAUACAUUUUUGUCAUAGUUCCCGCCACUUCCUUUUAGGCAGCUACACGUCUUUUUCCUCCUAAGAGAUGAUGACUCCGAGAAACAGCUACACUCGAUCCUAAGGCGCCAUGGCAGUCCCUAUUAGCUUUUUGAGCCACUGCACGGUGCCCACUGACGCGCCAAGAACACCCCACGCCUGGGAGGAACCGAGAAACUUCGACCAGUGGAGCCAGUUCGGCUGCACCCGUCGUCCUACUCCCAAGCCUCACAAAACUGCCGGGAGAAAUGUUCAUUAUUUGGUAAGAACGGAGAUAGGAAGAAAGGGUAAACCCUAAAGAUGGAAACUUUAAAAAAAAAAAAAAUGACAGCAAAAGCAAACAGAAAAGCUCCUGGCCGGGGCCGCUGCUCUCCAUACAGUAUGGUCUCCUGAAAGAAGAGAAACUACAAAUUAAUCUUGGCCGCCUCUCCAGCUCAUCCGUGGCGUUGGAGAAAGGCUUCUUA
Molecule: non-coding RNA, 1517 nt
Organism: Mus caroli (Ryukyu mouse)
Lineage: Eukaryota; Metazoa; Chordata; Mammalia; Rodentia; Muridae
Source: RefSeq, a predicted model, not a curated record